GGGGUAAGAUUAAUAAUAAAAAAUAUAAUAAAAGAAAUUUUAAUAUUAAAAAUAAUUUAAUGGGGGUUAAAGUAUUUUUAAUAGAAAAAAUUUAAAUUUUUAUAGUUAAUUAGUAUUGUAAAAGAAUUUUGAAAUAUUUUGAAAAUUAAAUUUAUUUAAAAGUAAAUUUUAUUUAUUGUAUCUUGGGUAUCAGAGUUUAUUAAAAAUUUUUUAUAAUUUUUAAAUUUCUCGAAUUUAAAAGAGAUAAUUAAUUAAUAAAGUUAUUGUUGAAUAAAUAUUUUAAAUAAUUAAUUUGAAAUGAAAUGUUAAUCGUUUUUAAAUAUAUCUAGUUUUUUUAGAAUAAAAUUUAAUUUUAAAUUUAAGUUAAAAAUAAAUUUAUUAUUUAAUUUAUUUUAAUUUAAAUUUUAUAUUUUAAGGGAUAAGCUUUAAAUUAAAUUUUUAUAAUAUAAGUUAAGUUUUAUUUUUAAAAUUUUUAUAAUUUAUAUUGUUAAUAAAUUAUAUUUUUUUAUAAAUAAUUUUAUUUAUAAUUAAAAUUUAAUUUUAAAUUUAAUUUUUUAUAAAAAAUUAUUUUUUAAUAUAUAAAAAUUUAGAUAAUAUGAUAAAAUUAGUAUAUAAAUAAAAUUAUUAUAAAUGUUUAAUUAAAUUUAAUUUUAAAAUAAGUUAUUUUAAAGGAAUUCGGCAAAAUUUUAUAUUCACUUGUUUAUCAAAAACAUGUCUUUUUGUUUAUAAUUUAAAGUCUAAUCUGCCCACUGAUUUAAAUUAAAGGGCUGCAGUAUUUUGACUGUACAAAGGUAGCAUAAUCAUUAGUCUUUUAAUUGGAGACUUGUAUGAAAGAUUGGAUGAAAUAUAUACUGUCUCUAAAAUAUAUUAUUGAAUUUAAUUUUUUAAUUAAAAAGUUAAAAUAAUUUAAAAAGACGAGAAGACCCUAUAGAGUUUUAUAAUUUUUAGGAAUUAAAAUUAUUUAUAAAUUUUUAAUUAAAAUUAAUAGGAAUUAUUUUAUUGGGGUGAUAAAAAAAUUUACUAAACUUUUUUAAAAAUUUUUCAUAAAUAAGUGAGUAUAUGAUCCAAUUAUAUUGAUUAUAAGAUUAAAUUACCUUAGGGAUAACAGCGUAAUUUUUUUUUUUAGUUCAUAUAAAAAGAAAAGUUUGCGACCUCGAUGUUGGAUUAAGAUAAAAUUUGUAUGUAAAAGUACAAGGUUUUUGAUCUGUUCGAUCAUUAAAAUCUUACAUGAUCUGAGUUCAAACCGGUGUAAGCCAGGUUGGUUUCUAUCUUUUAAAAAUCAAAAUAUUUUAGUACGAAAGGAUCAAAUAUUUUAAUUAAAUUAUUUAAUUUUGAAUUUUAUUAAAGAAAAUAUAUUAAAUAAUAAUAAUAAUUAAUAAAUU
Molecule: ribosomal RNA, 1382 nt
Filed under: Smerkata fusca
Lineage: Eukaryota; Metazoa; Arthropoda; Insecta; Lepidoptera; Endromidae
Description: 16S ribosomal RNA
Source: RNAcentral